RNAcentral lists this ribosomal RNA (497 nucleotides) under uncultured bacterium. RNAcentral's name for it is "partial 16S ribosomal RNA". It matches the Rfam family "Bacterial small subunit ribosomal RNA", at positions 28 to 507 of the family's 1533-position model. The record is from RNAcentral.
GAUGGACGCUGGCGGCGUGCCUAAUACAUGCAAGUCGAGCGAACAGACGAGGAGCUUGCUCCUCUGACGUUAGCGGCGGACGGGUGAGUAACACGUGGAUAACCUACCUAUAAGACUGGGAUAACUUCGGGAAACCGGAGCUAAUACCGGAUAAUAUAUUGAACCGCAUGGUUCAAUAGUGAAAGACGGUUUUGCUGUCACUUAUAGAUGGAUCCGCGCCGCAUUAGCUAGUUGGUAAGGUAACGGCUUACCAAGGCAACGAUGCGUAGCCGACCUGAGAGGGUGAUCGGCCACCCUGGAACUGAGACACGGUCCAGACUCCUACGGGAGGCAGCAGUAGGGAAUCUUCCGCAAUGGGCGAAAGCCUGACGGAGCAACGCCGCGUGAGUGAUGAAGGUCUUCGGAUCGUAAAACUCUGUUAUUAGGGAAGAACAAAUGUGUAAGUACCUAUGCACGUCUUGACGGUACCUAAUCAGAAAGCCACGGCUAACUACGUG